RNAcentral lists this long non-coding RNA (521 nucleotides) under Gallus gallus (chicken). The record is from RNAcentral. Lineage: Eukaryota; Metazoa; Chordata; Aves; Galliformes; Phasianidae.
CGUCCAAGUAUGCCAGGGAAAUCUCUGCUACCAAACUCCUGUCUGGGAUGGACUGGGCCAUUCCAUAGAUGGCUCCCAUGCCUGUGGUCUUGGCGUUGAGAUUAUUCAUGAUGUCCUCAAUGCUGUCUUUGACAUCUUUCAGGAACUGCUCAGCCACACCAGAUUUCGUGUGCAACUGCGUGAUGCAAAGAUGAAUGCUUGGUGGGAACUGCAAGAUGUUCAAGUUCCAUCCUUUUGCAGCUAACAAAUUAGAUAACCGAUAAAUGUCAAACGUGUCUGAACCGAUGGAGAGGACAGACACCUCAGGUUUCCCAAAAAUGAAGAUGCUGUCAAUUUUUCUCAACUCCGAUUCAAGGAAGCGAGCUGUUUUUAUGAUCCUUUUCGUGGCCUCAACGUAGCCCGAUUCCCCCAUGUGCAUCAGAGUUGCCCAGCACGCGGCUAUGAUUCCACCAGCCCUGGAGCCUGCUAUGGAGGGGGAGGCGUAUAUGCCCCCUUGCCAGUCGGGUGCCACAAAGUACUGG